Molecule: unclassified non-coding RNA, 275 nt
Filed under: uncultured fungus
Lineage: Eukaryota; Fungi
Description: partial contains 5.8S ribosomal RNA, internal transcribed spacer 2, and large subunit ribosomal RNA
Source: RNAcentral
AACGCACCUUGCGCCACGUGGUAUUCCACGGGGCACGCCUGUUUGAGUGUCACGUUAACCAUCGCGUCGCGAAUGUAACAGUUUGCGGGGCGGAUUUGGGUGUUGCCGUAGUUGGCUCGCCUCGAAAUGCAUUAGCUGUCUAAAGACCGCGCCGUUGGUGUGAUAAUUACUUUGCGCCGCUGGUGUUGGACCGGGUGAUGGCUCAUAAACCGUCUGCAAGGACAAUAUCUUAAUGCCUUGGCCUCAAAUCAGGUGGGACUACCCGCUGAACUUAA